GGAAUUUUUAGUCAAAGUCAAGAAAACAUUUGACAGCGUUUGGAAUUUGUUUGCUCAUUUAAGGAGCUAUCAGUGAAGUGUAUCACUGAUACACUAGCAAGAGUUGCUCAAGGCUUUUUGACUGGAGCUUCAAUUCUUUGACAGAAAAAUUCAGAUAUCUAUCGGACUCUUCUUCAAUCAAUGGAAAUAGAAAUAUUACAGCAAUUCUUUACUAACCCACCUUGCCCGGAACUAUAACAAAAAUACGAAAUGCACACCCAAAUUUAUACUUUUUUCUCGUAAAGCAACCAUUUUGGGCGUG
Episyrphus balteatus (marmalade hoverfly) is the source of this 301-nucleotide long non-coding RNA. RefSeq lists it as uncharacterized. The record is from RefSeq and is a predicted model, not a curated record. NCBI's taxonomy places the organism in Eukaryota, Metazoa, Arthropoda, Insecta, Diptera, Syrphidae. The transcript has 3 exons.